Molecule: microRNA precursor, 185 nt
Organism: Oryza rufipogon (brownbeard rice)
Lineage: Eukaryota; Viridiplantae; Streptophyta; Magnoliopsida; Poales; Poaceae
Rfam family: MIR812 microRNA precursor family
Source: Rfam
AAAAAUUUUAUUCGUGGUUUUUCUGUUCAAUAUUUAAUCGUCUGUCUUAUUUGAAUUUUUUUAUAAUUAAUAUUUUUAUUGUUAUUAGAUGAUAAAAUAUAAAUAAUACUGUAUACAUGACUUAUUUUCUAAUUUUUCAUAAAUUCUUCGAAUAAGACGAACGGUUACGUUGGAUAUACAAAUCC